UCCUCCACACCAUGCCACAUGAUAGGGGACAGGCCCCUCUAGGAUUUGGUGCCCAAUUCUUGCCAAAAGAGAAGGAAGGCACCAUCCAAUCUUCCAUCUAUUCUACAUGCACACUUAGAGAUAAUUAGGAGAUAAAGAAGAGAUAAUGCUAGGAUAAUUGUGCUAAUUUAUUAACUUAAUCAAAUUCUCUUGGGCUCAUAAUUAAGAGUCCAAUUAAAUCUAAAUGGAUUUAGGUUAGAUUCAAGACUAUAGACUUGAUCAAAUCUAAGUUUCGAGAAAAAUUAGGUUUAACCAUGUGCUAGC
This 303-nucleotide long non-coding RNA is filed under the name Elaeis guineensis (African oil palm). Its description in RNAcentral is "long non-coding RNA (EGUI_LNC034560)". Lineage: Eukaryota; Viridiplantae; Streptophyta; Magnoliopsida; Arecales; Arecaceae. The record is from RNAcentral.